GAACAUUAACAAUAUAUACAGUCUUCAUUCUUUUAGAAACUUUCUUAUUAAAGGAGGCUUGCAGUUUUUCUUUCCUAACUUAAUGAACUUUUUAAAGACAUCUUAACAACAAAGCUAGCUAUAUUAUGAGGGUUUUAGGGUUUGGGUUUUAGAUGAAAAUGUAAGUAUCUUUCUGUAAUUGAUCUGUACAAUUAGCUUUUUCACUUUUUCUUUGAAAACAAAAUACCCAAUAGUUUAUUCCUCUGUUAGCCCUUAAAUCUUUUUUCCUUAGUAAUAAUUUUGGUGUUGCUCAUCCUCUACGUUGAUACUCUUUAACUUUUUCUCUGAGCCUUCCCAACAAUUUCAAGGUACUUUAUUAAGAAGAGGUAUGCAACAGCUCUGAUUUUUUUCAGUUAUUUUUCCUUUCCUGUGUUCACUAGUUAAUUACCUUGAUUAGCUGUUUCCUCCUUAAAGCUUCAGAGUCAGAGGUUAAGGCUGGAGUACAGUCGCUAUUCACAGAUAUGAUCAUGGCACACUACAGCCACAGACUCCUGGCCUCAAGGGAUCCUCUCACCUCAGCCUCCUGAGUAGCUGGGACUACAGGCAUAUGCCACUUCGCCCAGCUAAUUCUUAUAUUUGCACCUCCUAAUACCUCUAAGCAAGUUAUAAAAUAUAUAGUGUCUCUGUAUUUUUUAUAGUUAAGCAACCUUAGACCUGUGAAGCUUAUUAACCUAAUUUCAAAUGGGUAAAUGGUCUUAAAACCCUGGUGCUUUGACUAUGGUUCUAAUAUUUUCUGCUCUUUUAUGCUGCUGAGAUUCUUAUUCUGAAAUUCAAGAAAGGACCUUUGACAUUUCUUUAUCUCCUAUUUAAAAUUCUGGUUAUUUCAUUUAUAGGAAUGCUUAUGUCUCAUCUGAAACAUACUUAUAGAAUGAACGAACCAUUUCUCCCAUGAAAUGGGUUACUUACCUAUUGACAUAAUGCUAAUUGCCCUUUUGUAAAAAAAAAAAAAAAAAAAAAAAAAAAA
This is a non-coding RNA of Microcebus murinus (gray mouse lemur), 1003 nucleotides long. Lineage: Eukaryota; Metazoa; Chordata; Mammalia; Primates; Cheirogaleidae. The record is from RefSeq and is a predicted model, not a curated record.